This 72-nucleotide transfer RNA is filed under the name Streptomyces sp. 7-21. RNAcentral describes it as "tRNA-Val". It matches the Rfam family "tRNA". From Rfam's summary of the family: Transfer RNA (tRNA) molecules are approximately 80 nucleotides in length. RNAcentral also lists the same sequence under 1 other name. Lineage: Bacteria; Bacillati; Actinomycetota; Actinomycetes; Kitasatosporales; Streptomycetaceae. The record is from RNAcentral.
GGGUGCAUAGCUCAGUGGCAGAGCGCCGCCCUUACAAGGCGGAUGUCGGCGGUUCGAACCCGUCUGCACCCA